GUGCUCGCUUCAGCAGCACAUAUACUAAAAUUGGAACGAUACAGAGAUUAGCAUGGCCCCUGCACAAGGAUGGUUAUAAACCAAUGUUACUGCAAUAAACAAAAAAUUA
This is a small nuclear RNA of Diceros bicornis minor, 109 nucleotides long. The record is from RefSeq and is a predicted model, not a curated record. NCBI's taxonomy places the organism in Eukaryota, Metazoa, Chordata, Mammalia, Perissodactyla, Rhinocerotidae.